GACGAACGCUGGCGGCGUGCUUAACACAUGCAAGUCGAACGGAAAGGCCCUGCUUUUGUGGGGUGCUCGAGUGGCGAACGGGUGAGUAACACGUGAGUAACCUGCCCUUGACUUUGGGAUAACUUCAGGAAACUGGGGCUAAUACCGGAUAGGAGCUCCUGCUGCAUGGUGGGGGUUGGAAAGUUUCGGCGGUUGGGGAUGUACUCGCGGCUUAUCAGCUUGUUGGUGGGGUAGUGGCUUACCAAGGCUUUGACGGGUAGCCGGCCUGAGAGGGUGACCGGCCACAUUGGGACUGAGAUACGGCACAGACUCCUACGGGAGGCAGCAGUGGGGAAUAUUGCACAAUGGGCGGAAGCCUGAUGCAGCAACGCCGCGUGCGGGAUGACGGCCUUCGGGUUGUAAACCGCUUUCGCCUGUGACGAAGCGUGAGUGACGGUAAUGGGUAAAGAAGCACCGGCUAACUACGUG
This 468-nucleotide ribosomal RNA is filed under the name uncultured bacterium. RNAcentral describes it as "partial 16S ribosomal RNA". It matches the Rfam family "Bacterial small subunit ribosomal RNA", at positions 28 to 507 of the family's 1533-position model. The record is from RNAcentral.